RNAcentral lists this ribosomal RNA (484 nucleotides) under uncultured bacterium. Its description in RNAcentral is "partial 16S ribosomal RNA". It matches the Rfam family "Bacterial small subunit ribosomal RNA", at positions 30 to 507 of the family's 1533-position model. The record is from RNAcentral.
AUUGAACGCUGGCGGCAGGCCUAACACAUGCAAGUCGAGCGGAUGAAGGGAGCUUGCUCCUGGAUUCAGCGGCGGACGGGUGAGUAAUGCCUAGGAAUCUGCCUGGUAGUGGGGGAUAACGUCCGGAAACGGGCGCUAAUAUCGCAUACGUCCUGAGGGAGAAAGUGGGGGAUCUUCGGACCUCACGCUAUCUGAUGAGCCUAGGUCGGAUUAGCUAGUUGGUGGGGUAAAGGCCUACCAAGGCGACGAUCCGUAACUGGUCUGAGAGGAUGAUCAGUCACACUGGAACUGAGACACGGUCCAGACUCCUACGGGAGGCAGCAGUGGGGAAUAUUGGACAAUGGGCGAAAGCCUGAUCCAGCCAUGCCGCGUGUGUGAAGAAGGUCUUCGGAUUGUAAAACACUUUAAGUUGGGAGGAAGGGCAGUAAGUUAAUACCUUGCUGUUUUGACGUUACCAACAGAAUAAGCACCGGCUAACUUCGUG